AGAACGAACGCUGGCGGCAUGCCUAACACAUGCAAGUCGAACGCUUCCGGGGCUUCGGUCGCGGAGGAGUGGCAGACGGGUGAGUAACGCGUGGGAACAUACCCUUCGGUUCGGAAUAACUCAGGGAAACUUGAGCUAAUACCGGAUACGUCCGAGGUUUUAAUCGACCUUGGAGAAAGAUUUAUCGCCGGAGGAUUGGCCCGCGUCUGAUUAGCUUGUUGGUGAGGUAAUGGCUCACCAAGGCGACGAUCAGUAGCUGGUCUGAGAGGAUGAUCAGCCACAUUGGGACUGAGACACGGCCCAAACUCCUACGGGAGGCAGCAGUGGGGAAUAUUGGACAAUGGGCGAAAGCCUGAUCCAGCCAUGCCGCGUGAGUGAUGAAGGCCUUAGGGUUGUAAAGCUCUUUUACCCGGGAAGAUAAUGACGGUACCGGGAGAAUAAGCCCCGGCUAACUUCGUGCCAGCAGCCGC
RNAcentral lists this ribosomal RNA (470 nucleotides) under uncultured bacterium. Its description in RNAcentral is "SSU rRNA". It matches the Rfam family "Bacterial small subunit ribosomal RNA", at positions 26 to 518 of the family's 1533-position model. The record is from RNAcentral.